This 522-nucleotide ribosomal RNA is filed under the name Staphylococcus aureus. RNAcentral's name for it is "partial 23S ribosomal RNA". It matches the Rfam family "Bacterial large subunit ribosomal RNA", at positions 12 to 527 of the family's 2925-position model. Lineage: Bacteria; Bacillati; Bacillota; Bacilli; Caryophanales; Staphylococcaceae. The record is from RNAcentral.
UAAGGGCGCACGGUGGAUGCCUUGGCACUAGAAGCCGAUGAAGGACGUUACUAACGACGAUAUGCUUUGGGGAGCUGUAAGUAAGCUUUGAUCCAGAGAUUUCCGAAUGGGGAAACCCAGCAUGAGUUAUGUCAUGUUAUCGAUAUGUGAAUACAUAGCAUAUCAGAAGGCACACCCGGAGAACUGAAACAUCUUAGUACCCGGAGGAAGAGAAAGAAAAUUCGAUUCCCUUAGUAGCGGCGAGCGAAACGGGAAGAGCCCAAACCAACAAGCUUGCUUGUUGGGGUUGUAGGACACUCUAUACGGAGUUACAAAGGACGACAUUAGACGAAUCAUCUGGAAAGAUGAAUCAAAGAAGGUAAUAAUCCUGUAGUCGAAAAUGUUGUCUCUCUUGAGUGGAUCCUGAGUACGACGGAGCACGUGAAAUUCCGUCGGAAUCUGGGAGGACCAUCUCCUAAGGCUAAAUACUCUCUAGUGACCGAUAGUGAACCAGUACCGUGAGGGAAAGGUGAAAAGCACCCC